CAAUGCAUUAGAAUUAGAAUCUAACUA
This 27-nucleotide transfer RNA is filed under the name Nemesia sp. PK-2016. RNAcentral's name for it is "partial tRNA-Leu". Lineage: Eukaryota; Metazoa; Arthropoda; Arachnida; Araneae; Nemesiidae. The record is from RNAcentral.